GACGAACGCUGGCGGCGUGCUUAAUACAUGCAAGUCAACGACUUUUAGAGUAGCAAUAUUUUAAAAGGAGUGGCGCACGGUGAGUAACACGUAGGUAAUCUGCCUUCAGGACUGACACAACUCGUCGAAAGACGGGCUAAUAUCAGAUAAUGCAGCGGCUCCGCAUGGAGACAGUUGUUAAAGUACAAGCGCCUGAAGAUGAGCCUGCGGUCCAUUAGCUAGUUGGUAGAGUAACAGCCUACCAAGGCAACGAUGGAUAGCUGGUCUGAGAGGAUGAUCAGCCACACUGGAACUGAGACACGGUCCAGACUCCUACGGGAGGCAGCAGUAAGGAAUAUUGCUCAAUGGCCGAAAGGCUGAAGCAGCAACGCCGCGUGAAGGAUGAAUGGCCUUUGGCCUGUAAAACUUCUGUAAAAAGGGAAAACAAAUCAAGGCAUGUCCUGAUUUGAUUGUACCUUUGAAGUAAGCCCCGGCUAACUACGUGCCAG
This 488-nucleotide ribosomal RNA is filed under the name uncultured bacterium. RNAcentral describes it as "bacterial SSU rRNA". It matches the Rfam family "Bacterial small subunit ribosomal RNA", at positions 28 to 511 of the family's 1533-position model. The record is from RNAcentral.